GAUGAACGCUGGCGGCGUGCCUAAUACAUGCAAGUCGAACGAAACUUCUUUAUCACCGAGUGCUUGCACUCACCGAUAAAGAGUUGAGUGGCGAACGGGUGAGUAACACGUGGGCAACCUGCCCAAAAGAGGGGGAUAACACUUGGAAACAGGUGCUAAUACCGCAUAACCAUAGUUACCGCAUGGUACCUAUGUAAAAGGUGGCUAUACUACCGCUCUUGGAUGGGCCCGCGGCGCAUUAGGUAGUUGGUAGGGUAAAGGCUUACCAAGGCAAUGAUGCGUAGACGAAUUGAGAGGGUGGUCGGCCACAUUGGGACUGAGACACGGCCCAAACUCCUACGGGAGGCAGCAGUAGGGAAUCUUCCACAAUGGGCGAAAGCCUGAUGGAGCAACGCCGCGUGGGUGAAGAAGGUCUUCGGAUCGUAAAACCCUGUUGUUAGAGAAGAAAGUGCGUGAGAGUAACUGUUCACGUAUCGACGGUAUCUAACCAGAAAGCCACGGCUAACUACGUG
Molecule: ribosomal RNA, 512 nt
Filed under: uncultured bacterium
Lineage: Bacteria
Description: partial 16S ribosomal RNA
Rfam family: Bacterial small subunit ribosomal RNA
Source: RNAcentral